UACGAAGGGGGCUAGCGUUGUUCGGAAUCACUGGGCGUAAAGCGUACGUAGGCGGACAUUUAAGUCAGGGGUGAAAGCCUGGAGCUCAACUCCAGAACUGCCUUUGAUACUGGGUGUCUUGAGUCCGGGAGAGGUGAGUGGAACUGCUAGUGUAGAGGUGAAAUUCGUAGAUAUUAGCAAGAACACCAGUGGCGAAGGCGGCUCACUGGCCCGGUACUGACGCUGAGGUACGAAAGCGUGGGGAGCAAAC
This 250-nucleotide ribosomal RNA is filed under the name uncultured Alphaproteobacteria bacterium. RNAcentral describes it as "partial 16S ribosomal RNA". It matches the Rfam family "Bacterial small subunit ribosomal RNA", at positions 524 to 773 of the family's 1533-position model. The record is from RNAcentral. Lineage: Bacteria; Pseudomonadati; Pseudomonadota; Alphaproteobacteria.